CAGCAGCCGCGGUAAUACAGAGGGUGCGAGCGUUAAUCGGAUUUACUGGGCGUAAAGCGUGCGUAGGCGGCUUCUUAAGUCGGAUGUGAAAUCCCUGAGCUUAACUUAGGAAUUGCAUUCGAUACUGGGAAGCUAGAGUAUGAGAGAGGAUGGUAGAAUUCCAGGUGUAGCGGUGAAAUGCGUAGAGAUCUGGAGGAAUACCGAUGGCGAAGGCAGCCAUCUGGCCUAAUACUGACGCUGAGGUACGAAAGCAUGGGGAGCAAACAGGAUUAGAUACCCGCGUAGUCCCUGUCUCUUAUAC
RNAcentral lists this ribosomal RNA (301 nucleotides) under uncultured bacterium. RNAcentral describes it as "partial 16S ribosomal RNA". It matches the Rfam family "Bacterial small subunit ribosomal RNA", at positions 509 to 807 of the family's 1533-position model. The record is from RNAcentral.